Molecule: ribosomal RNA, 409 nt
Filed under: Corynebacterium xerosis
Lineage: Bacteria; Bacillati; Actinomycetota; Actinomycetes; Mycobacteriales; Corynebacteriaceae
Description: bacterial SSU rRNA
Rfam family: Bacterial small subunit ribosomal RNA
Source: RNAcentral
CCGGAUAGGACCGCACCGUGAGGGUGUGGUGGAAAGUUUUUCGGUGUGGGAUGGGCCCGCGGCCUAUCAGCUUGUUGGUGGGGUAAUGGCCUACCAAGGCGGCGACGGGUAGCCGGCCUGAGAGGGUGGACGGCCACAUUGGGACUGAGACACGGCCCAGACUCCUACGGGAGGCAGCAGUGGGGAAUAUUGCACAAUGGGCGGAAGCCUGAUGCAGCGACGCCGCGUGGGGGAUGACGGCCUUCGGGUUGUAAACUCCUUUCACCAUCGACGAAGGUUUUCUGACGGUAGAUGGAGAAGAAGCACCGGCUAACUACGUGCCAGCAGCCGCGGUAAUACGUAGGGUGCGAGCGUUGUCCGGAAUUACUGGGCGUAAAGAGCUCGUAGGUGGUUUGUCGCGUCGUCUGUG